AUUGAACGCUGGCGGCAGGCCUAACACAUGCAAGUCGAACGAGUGGCGGACGGGUGAGUAAUGUCUGGGAAACUGCCUGAUGGAGGGGGAUAACUACUGGAAACGGUAGCUAAUACCGCAUACCAUCAGAUGUGCCCAGAUGGGAUUAGCUUGUUGGUGGGGUAACGGCUCACCAAGGCGACGGUCCCUAGCUGGUCUGAGAGGAUGACCCGCCAAACGGGAACUGAGACACGGUUCAAGCUUCUACGGGAGGCAGCAGUGGGGAAUAUUGGACAAUGGGCGCAAGGCUUGAGGAGGCAUGGCGGGGGGAAGAAGGAGGCCUUCGGGUUUUAAAGUACUUUCAGCGGGGAGGCGUUACCCGCAGAAGAAGCACCGGCUAACUCCGGGGCAGCCGGCGCGGUAAUAC
Molecule: ribosomal RNA, 406 nt
Filed under: uncultured bacterium
Lineage: Bacteria
Description: partial 16S ribosomal RNA
Rfam family: Bacterial small subunit ribosomal RNA
Source: RNAcentral